AAUAGAUACCCUGGUAGUCCACGCCGUAAACGAUGGAUGCUAGCUAUUGGGGGGAAUCGACCCCCUCCGAAGCGAAGCUAACGCGUUAAGCAUCCCGCCUGAGUAGUACGAGCGCAAGCUUAAAACUCAAAGGGGAUUGACGGGGACCCGCACAAGCGGUGGAGCGUGUGGUUUAAUUCGAUGGUAAACGAAGAACCUUACCAAGGUUUGACAUCCCGGUAGCCGUUCUCCGAAAGGAGAAUUUCAUUUAGUUGGACCGGUGACAGGUGAUGCAUGGCCGUCGUCAGCUCGUGUCGUGAGAUGUUGGGUUAAGUCCCGCAACGAGCGCAACCCUUAUGAUUUAGUUGGAUUUUUCUAAACAGACUGCCCUGGUAACAGGGAGGAAGGAGGGGAUGAUGUCAGGUCAGUAUUUCCCUUACACCUUGGGGCGACACACGCGCUACAAUGGCCGGUACAAUGGGCAGCUAAGCCGCGAGGUGGAGCAAAUCCCAUCAAAGCCGGUCCCAGUUCGGAUUGCAGGCUGAAACCGCCUGCAUGAAGCCGGAAUCGCUAGUAA
RNAcentral lists this ribosomal RNA (556 nucleotides) under uncultured bacterium. RNAcentral describes it as "bacterial SSU rRNA". It matches the Rfam family "Bacterial small subunit ribosomal RNA", at positions 777 to 1341 of the family's 1533-position model. The record is from RNAcentral.